GAUGAACGCUGGCGGCGUGCCUAACACAUGCAAGUCGAGCGGACAGACGAGGAGCUUGCUCCUCUGACGUUAGCGGCGGACGGGUGAGUAACACGUGGAUAACCUACCUCUAACACUGGGAUAAGUGCGGGAAACAGGAGCUAAUACCGGAUAAGACGUGGAACGGCAUGGUUCACCAGUGCAAGGCGGUUUUGGUGUGAGUUAGAGCUGGAUCCGCCUCGCAUUAGCUGGUUGGUAAGGUAACGGCUUACCAAGGAAACGAUGCGUAGCCGACCUGAGCGGGUGAUCGGCCACACUGGAACUGAGACACGGUCCAGACUCCUACGGGAGGCAGCAGUAGGGAAUAUUCCGCAAUGGGCGAAAGCCUGACGCAGCAACGCCGCGUGAGUGAAGAAGGUCUUCGGAUCGUAAAGCGCUGUUAUUAGGGAAGAACAAAAGUGUGAUUAACUAUGGCCGUCUUGACGGUACCUAAACAGAAAGCAACGGCUAACUACGUG
Molecule: ribosomal RNA, 497 nt
Filed under: uncultured bacterium
Lineage: Bacteria
Description: partial 16S ribosomal RNA
Rfam family: Bacterial small subunit ribosomal RNA
Source: RNAcentral